RNAcentral lists this long non-coding RNA (469 nucleotides) under Nicotiana benthamiana. RNAcentral's name for it is "long non-coding RNA (NBEN_LNC032888)". The record is from RNAcentral. Lineage: Eukaryota; Viridiplantae; Streptophyta; Magnoliopsida; Solanales; Solanaceae.
CCCGUUCAUGCGAGGUGGAUCAACGAGGAUGCAAGCCGUAGAAGCCUUAGUCCGGUCAGUACGAGACACUCAAUAGUAUUAGUAUCAUGAUUGGUUAGGGGCUUCAAAGUAAUUAUCACCCGUUAUCUCAAGAGAAUGGUGCCAUCUCAAAAUGACCAACGCGAUCCGUGACCGGUUGGGCAAUGAUAUUGGGCCCAACGGAUCUUUUCUCUGGUUUUCAUUUCGGUUUCAGUUGGAGCGCCUUCACCCCAACCCUCUAACAUUAGCCAGCAUCGACUUCUUUGCCAAGCCUGAAAUGCCUAUUUCAACCGUCUUCUUUUGCAUUGUGAGUUAUUUGAUCACGAAAAGGUCUUAUCUUAUCUUGUAUGCUUAGUUUCUUAAAGGGGGGACAUUAUGAUCCCCAAAAUGAUCUAGAAGUGAAUACAAAGCUUACUAUUUUUCUCUUGGACAACACUUGCAAGAAAUACAA